GCCGACUCGGGAUCGGGGGCGCGAACUAUCCGCCUUCCGCACCGUAUGAAAAAUCAAAGUCUUUGGGUUCUGGGGGGAGUAUGGGCGCAAGGGUGAAACUUAAAGGAAUUGACGGAAGGGCACCACCAGGCGUGGAACUUGGGGCUCAAUUUGACUCAACACGGGAAAACUUACCAGGUCCAGACAUAAUGAGGAUUGACAGAUUGAUAGCUCUUUCUUGAUUCUGUGGGUGGUGGUGCAUGGCCGUUCUUAAUUGGUGGAAUGAUUUGUCUGGUUAAUUCCGUUAACGAACGAAACCUUAACCUGGUAACUAAUCCCUGGGAUCUCUCAUCCCAGUCGGCUUCUUAGAGGGACUUUGUGAUCUAAACACAAGGAAGUUUGAAGCAAUAACAGGUCUGUGAUGCCCUUAAAUGUCCUGGGCCGCACGCGUGCUACACUGACACUUACAGCGAGUACUUCCCAGCCCCGAAAGGCGGCUGGUAAUCAGCAAUAGGUGUCGGGAUGGGAA
Molecule: ribosomal RNA, 508 nt
Filed under: uncultured ciliate
Lineage: Eukaryota; Ciliophora
Description: SSU rRNA
Rfam family: Eukaryotic small subunit ribosomal RNA
Source: RNAcentral